Molecule: long non-coding RNA, 998 nt
Organism: Triticum dicoccoides
Lineage: Eukaryota; Viridiplantae; Streptophyta; Magnoliopsida; Poales; Poaceae
Exons: 4
Source: RefSeq, a predicted model, not a curated record
CAGCAGCUGCAUGGUGGCCGGUGCGUGCAGCCGCAGGCAUCAUGUGCUUCGGCGCGUGCAUGGUGGCCGCCGGGCGUGCAGCUGCAGCAUCCGAGUGCAGCCGCCGCGUGCUGGCCCCCACAUAUGUUGGCCGAUUACGUGCUUGCCGUAGGCGUCCAAGGCCAAUGGAGGCCGCCGCCUUCAACUCGCGCUUGCCCUGCAGCCUUGAACGCCUCUAUCGCCAGUUCGGAUCAUGAUCAUUGUGUGUCCUUCUUUGUAACUUCGGAAACAGUUUAAUAAUUGUACAAAGAAGAACCUUGUGUUCUGGAAUAUGGAUUGAAGGUUACAGGCACAUUGACAUGAAUAUAAUAGUCGUUAGCAUCUCUAUAUCAUGUCCAGUCUUCGUCUUCGUCGUCGUCGUCGUCGUCGCCGCUGUAUCUUUCUGAGCCUCACCUCACAAUUUCAAUGCAAAAUGCAGCCAUCAUCUUGGAAUUCCUUGAGAAUAUCCCUGCCAAAUGCGCCUCCUGGGUGUUCCUGUGCGGUGCCAUCUUAAUACAGUGCUAAUGACACGCCUUCUGGUGGUCCGUGGGAGCAAAUUGGAGAAACGGAAGACGGGGGAAAGCAAUGCAUGGCUUCAAACUGGGGGGCGGGUUGGUAAUCGUCGAAUCGCGUGGUUGCAACUAGACUGAAUUAAACAGCAUUGUGCAUCAAAGUGUGACAGAAAUGCACGCGUCGCAUUUGGGCGAAUGUUAAUAUCGAUUUGUUCAUGAUGAAAGCAAGUGAUUACUAUUUACCACCGCGUAUCUGUGUCGCUAAAGAGCAGCAGCUUGAACUGGUUGAGAUGCUUGGGGUGGCGUCUUCUUUCAGUUUUCCUCUAGCCGCAUAUACACAGAGAGGGCGUAACUGUGAGAAACUUCAGCUCCAGGCUAACGGUUGGAAUUGUCCUCUUAUGAUUUUGCUUAAUGUUUACUUCCAUAUCAAACAUGAUGUUAAUGUUAAGUAUAUAUGUUGUGUUUGUC